CGGAGGGUCCAAGCGUUAUCCGGAAUCAUCGGGUUUAAAGGGUCCGUAGGCGGUUUAAUAAGUCAGUGGUGAAAGCCCAUCGCUCAACGAUGGAACGGCCAUUGAUACUGUUAAACUUGAAUUAUUAGGAAGUAACUAGAAUAUGUAGUGUAGCGGUGAAAUGCUUAGAGAUUACAUGGAAUACCAAUUGCGAAGGCAGGUUACUACUAAUAUAUUGACGCUGAUGGACGAAAGCGUGGGGAGCGAACAGGAUUAGAUACCCUGGUAGUCCACGCCGUAAACGAUGGAUACUAGCUGUUCGGAGCAAUCUGAGUGGCUAAGCGAAAGUGAUAAGUAUCCCACCUGGGGAGUACGUUCGCAGGAAUG
RNAcentral lists this ribosomal RNA (366 nucleotides) under uncultured organism. RNAcentral's name for it is "bacterial SSU rRNA". It matches the Rfam family "Bacterial small subunit ribosomal RNA", at positions 526 to 896 of the family's 1533-position model. The record is from RNAcentral.